GAUGAACGCUGGCGGCGUGCUUAACACAUGCAAGUCGAGCGAAGCACUUGAACCUGAUUCUUCGGAUGAAAGUUCAUUUGACUGAGCGGCGGACGGGUGAGUAACGCGUGGGUAUCCUGCCUCAUACAGGGGGAUAACAGUUAGAAAUGACUGCUAAUACCGCAUAAGACCACGGUGCCGCAUGGCACAGUAGGUAAAAACUCCGGUGGUAUGAGAUCGGACCCCGCGUCUGAUUAGGUAGUUGGUGGGGUAACGCCUACAAGCCGACGAUCAGUAGCCGACCUGAGAGGGUGACCGGGCACAUUGGGACUGAGACACGGCCCAGACUCCUACGGGAGCAGCAGUGGGGAAUAUUGCACAAUGGAGGAAACUCUGAUGCAAGCGACGCCGUGUGAAAGGAUGAAGUAUUUCGGGUAUGGUAAAACUUCUAUCAGCAGGG
RNAcentral lists this ribosomal RNA (439 nucleotides) under uncultured bacterium. RNAcentral describes it as "bacterial SSU rRNA". It matches the Rfam family "Bacterial small subunit ribosomal RNA", at positions 28 to 444 of the family's 1533-position model. The record is from RNAcentral.